GACGAACGCUGGCGGCGUGCCUAAUACAUGCAAGUUGAGCGCUGAAGGCUGGUCCUUGUCCCCACUGGUUGAGCAGCGAACGGGUGAGUAACGCGGGGGGAAUCUGCCUUCGAGCGGGGGACAACAUUUGGAAACGAAUGCUAAUACCGCAUAAAAACUUUAAACACAAGUUUUAAGUUUGAAAGAUGCAAUUGCAUCACUCAAAGAUGAUCCCGCGUUGUAUUAGCUAGUUGGUGAGGUAAAGGCUCACCAAGGCGGAGAUACAUAGCCGACCUGAGAGGGGGAGCGGCCACAUUGGGACGGGGACACGGCCCGAAACACUGCGGGAGGCAGCAGUCGGGGAACUUCGGCCAUGGCCGCAAUGCUGAACGUUCAACCCUGGGUGAGUGAAGGAUGUUUUCGGAUCGUAAAACUCAUUUGGUAGAGAAGAUCGUUAGGGAGAGUGGAAAGCUCAUAAAGUGACGGUACCUACCCAGAAAGGUACGGCUAACUACGUG
Molecule: ribosomal RNA, 497 nt
Filed under: uncultured bacterium
Lineage: Bacteria
Description: partial 16S ribosomal RNA
Rfam family: Bacterial small subunit ribosomal RNA
Source: RNAcentral